AUUGAACGCUGGCGGAAUGCUUUACACAUGCAAGUCGAGCGGCAGCGCGGCCUUCGGGCUGGCGGCGAGCGGCGAACGGGUGAGUAAUGCAUCGGAACAUGCCCAGUCGUGGGGGAUAACACUUCGAAAGAAGUGCUAAUACCGCAUACGUCCUGAGGGGGAAAGCGGGGGAUCGCAAGACCUCGCGCGAUUGGAGUGGCCGAUGUCAGAUUAGCUAGUUGGUGGGGCAAAGGCCUACCAAGGCGACGAGCUGUAGCUGGUCUGAGAGGAUGAUCAGCCACACUGGGACUGAGACACGGCCCAGACUCCUACGGGAGGCAGCAGUGGGGAAUUUUGGACAAUGGGGGCAACCCUGAUCCAGCCAAUCCGCGUGAGUGAAGAAGGCCUUCGGGUUGUAAAGCUCUUUCGGCAGGAACGAAACGGUGGGCUCUAACAUAGUCCGCUAAUGACGGUACCUGAAGAAGAAGCACCGGCUAACUACGUG
Molecule: ribosomal RNA, 484 nt
Filed under: uncultured bacterium
Lineage: Bacteria
Description: partial 16S ribosomal RNA
Rfam family: Bacterial small subunit ribosomal RNA
Source: RNAcentral